This is a long non-coding RNA of Neopsephotus bourkii (Bourke's parrot), 1893 nucleotides long. RefSeq lists it as uncharacterized. The transcript has 3 exons. The record is from RefSeq and is a predicted model, not a curated record. NCBI's taxonomy places the organism in Eukaryota, Metazoa, Chordata, Aves, Psittaciformes, Psittacidae.
UACCUGGGAACCUCAUGGGAACCCUCAAACCAGCAACCUAACACCUUCCAGCUCUGCACAAUGAAACUGUCUCCCACUCUGACAGACAACUAUUUCCUGUUGUCUGGAACACCAAAAUGGAAUUUCAAUCCCAUACACUCAAAUAAAGUUUAUGCCACAGGGGAUAAAAAAGCAGGGUGAAUUACACAGACAUUUUCAAAAGGCUGUGAGAUGACACUGCUCGCACGUAUCUGUUCUUCUCACCAUGCUCAGAUGGUUAAUGUGGAUGCUAAAGGAGAUUUAACUCCUUACCUAACCACUAAUGUCUUCCCAUGUCCCAUUCUGCCAGCCAAAUAACUGUCUUCUAGAAGAGGCAGAGUUGUGGUCCCAUUCCUCAAGGACCCUGAGAUAUCUGGAAUAGGCUAAUUUUCAUCCCUACCCACCUUUAUUAAUAUUGAUUACUGUUAUUCUGCUCCGCAGUGGCUGACUGAAUAUUCUCCCUGUGUCCAGCUGGUGAGUAUGCUUUUCCCAAAAUAGCCUGUGACCACUCUUUCCUAUAUUUGCACAAGAGAUGUACUAUUAUUAUAUUUGUAUGGAAGAAGUUAGAUGAUCCUGCAAAAAUGUUUUUCAGUGAUAUCUCUUGUCCAACUUGUAAAUUGAUUACAAUUUGAAAUGUCACACUGGAAGUGGUAUAUGACAGAAGAUCAAAGCAGGAAACGUUUUGCAGUCUCUUAGGAACCUGGCCAGAGUUGCUCUUUUUUAGACCCUCUGUUUGCCCAGAAGAAUUAACAUCUGCUCAUAGAGAAUAAUGUGCAGCUAUUGUCACUUAGUAUUCAACUUUCUUCCAAUAUUAAAGCUGAAUUAUUCAUAGCUUUAAGAACAUGGUUUUUGAGAUACUAUUCCACACCAGUGGUUGCACUGGGAAAAGAGCAGAGACCAGCCCUGAAAGUGUAACAAAGAAUGUUUUGAAUUCACAGGACAUGCAAAGCCACAAAUGCUAGCCAACCAACAUUACAUGCUUAAGGCCACAUUCAAUCAACCCAAAUUUCCUCAUGCACAAUAACGACUGUGGUGACAACUAGACUCUUGAGGAAACAGCCUUUAAAAUGCAUUUUCCUCUCCAGACAAAGGAAUUCUCACUACACAGGCACCUUACACAAGGUAGUGCUUUGUAUUUUCAGCUGCUUUUAUGUGUAGGUAUCUCAAUAAUAUCCACACAGAAGCCAAUCCUGGCUCCCAUGAUGCCAAUGGAAAAAAACCUUUUGAUUUCACUGGGAUCAUGAUUUGGUCAUAAUUGAUUAAUCCUCAUUCCAUUCCUGUGAGACAAGGGAGGAUAUAUAGAGAUCACUUCACAUACCACUGCAGCAUGGUUGUUUCUGGAAAAUAUCAGCUGUUCCAAAACAGAGAGGAACCCAGCACGCAGUUUGGAACAGGAUGCAAUGGCCAACACGAUCUCCAUCUGGAACAAUACAGGAAAUGCUGAUAGCCAGAGUGGCAUUGCUGAAAAUAGAUUUUGGCCAGCACACAGGGAUUAAGAGCCUUACUUUUCAAAAGGUGUGCUGGGACCUCUAAUAACCAUAAAUAGUCAGGACUUUGUAUUUGUGCCUCACUGGAAAGAUGGCAGCACUUGCAGUACAGUGUUUCCUCAUAUCAUGCUGACACAUUGCUUCAUUACUGGAUCAUCUGCAGCUUUCAACAGGACUGACGUGACUUCCGAGUCAAACAGAGACAAACAGCAAAGUCCUGACCCCACUGAAGUGGAAGUGAACAGUACUUGGAACCAAUGGAACAAGGAUUUCUCUCCCUGAAAUAGUUUGUGAGAUCUGGCAGCAACGUUUCCCAUCAGAUAGCAACUAUGAGAUCUUUGAUACCUUAUAUAACUGCCAUCCUUAAAUAAAACAUAUAUCUAGUUCA